CGGUAGUUUCGAGUCCUGGACUCAGAUACAACGCUGGCGGCGUGCCUAACACAUGCAAGUCGAACGCGAAAGCCCCGAAAGGGGUUAGUAGGAGUGGCAAACGGGUGAGUAACGACGUGGGUGACCUGCCUUAGAGUGGGGAUAACGUCCCGAAAGGGACGCUAAUACCGCAUAACAUCCUGCCUUUGAAGAGGUGGAGAUCAAAGCUGGGGACCGCAAGGCCUGGCGCUCAAAGAGGGGCCCGCGCCUGAUUAGCUAGUUGGUGGGGUAAUGGCUCACCAAGGCAACGAUCAGUAUCCGGCCUGAGAGGGCGGACGGACACACUGGGACUGAGACACGGCCCAGACUCCUACGGGAGGCAGCAGUGGGGAAUUGUUCGCAAUGGGCGCAAGCCUGACGACGCAACGCCGCGUGGAGGAUGAAGACCUUCGGGUCGUAAACUCCUUUCGAUCGAGACGAACAGCCAUCGGAUGAACAAUCCGGAGGUCUGACGGUACCGAGAGAAGAAGCCCCGGCUAACUCCGUG
This 526-nucleotide ribosomal RNA is filed under the name uncultured bacterium. Its description in RNAcentral is "bacterial SSU rRNA". It matches the Rfam family "Bacterial small subunit ribosomal RNA", at positions 1 to 507 of the family's 1533-position model. The record is from RNAcentral.